GACGGAGGAUGCAAGUGUUAUCCGGAAUUACUGGGCGUAAAGCGUCUGCAGGUGGUUUCUUAAGUCCACUGUUAAACCUUGAGGCUCAACCUCAAAUCAGCAUUGGAAACUGGGAAACUUGAGUAUAGUAGGGGUAGAGGGAAUUUCCAGUGGAGCGGUGAAAUGCGUAGAUAUUGGAAAGAACACCGAUGGCGAAGGCACUCUACUGGGCUAUUACUGACACUCAGAGACGAAAGCUAGGGGAGCAAAUGGGAUUAGAUACCCCAGUAGUCCUAGCCGUAAACGAUGGAUACUCGAUGUUGGGCGUAUCGACCCGUCCAGUGUCUUAGCUAACGCGUUAAGUAUCCCGCCUGGGGAGUACGCUCGCAAGAGUGAA
RNAcentral lists this ribosomal RNA (376 nucleotides) under uncultured bacterium. RNAcentral describes it as "bacterial SSU rRNA". It matches the Rfam family "Bacterial small subunit ribosomal RNA", at positions 524 to 898 of the family's 1533-position model. The record is from RNAcentral.